GACGAACGCUGGCGGCGUGCUUAACACAUGCAAGUCGAACGGAAAGGCCCUGCUUUUGUGGGGUGCUCGAGUGGCGAACGGGUGAGUAACACGUGAGUAACCUGCCCUUGACUUUGGGAUAACUUCAGGAAACUGGGGCUAAUACCGGAUAGGAGCUCCUGCUGCAUGGUGGGGGUUGGAAAGUUUCGGCGGUUGGGGCUGGACUCGCGGCUUAUCAGCUUGUUGGUGGGGUAGUGGCUUACCAAGGCUUUGACGGGUAGCCGGCCUGAGAGGGUGACCGGCGACAAUGGGACUGAGAUACGGCCCAGACGCCUACGGGAGGCAGCAGUGGGGAAUAUUGCACAAUGGGCGGAAGCCUGAUGCAGAAACGCCGCGUGCGGGAUGACGGCCUUCGGGGUGUAAACAGCUUUCGCCUGUGACGAAGCGUGAGUGACGGUAAUGGGUAAAGAAGCACCGGCUAACUACGUG
Molecule: ribosomal RNA, 468 nt
Filed under: uncultured bacterium
Lineage: Bacteria
Description: partial 16S ribosomal RNA
Rfam family: Bacterial small subunit ribosomal RNA
Source: RNAcentral